Molecule: ribosomal RNA, 449 nt
Filed under: uncultured bacterium
Lineage: Bacteria
Description: partial 16S ribosomal RNA
Rfam family: Bacterial small subunit ribosomal RNA
Source: RNAcentral
AAUGAACGCUGGCGGCAGGCCUCACACAUGCAAGUCGAACGGAUCCUUCGGGAUUAGUGGCGGACGGGUGAGUAACGCGUGGGAACAUACCCAAAGGUAUGGAAUAGCCUCGGGAAACUGGGAGUAAUACCGUAUGUGCUCGAAAGAGGAAAGAUUUAUCGCUUUUGGAUUGGCCCGCGUUGGAUUAGGUAGUUGGUGGGGUAAUGGCCUACCAAGCCGACGAUCCAUAGAUGGUUUGAGAGGAUGAUCAGCCACACUGGGAAUGGGACACGGCCCAGAAUCCUACGGGAGGCAGCAGGGGGGAAUGUUAGACAAUGGGGGAAACCCUGAUCUAGCCAUGCCGCGUGAUCGAUGAAGGCCUUAGGGUUGUAAAGAUCUUUCAGGUGGGAAGAUAAUGACUGUACCACCAGAAGAAGCCCCGGCUAACUCCGUGCCAGCCGCCGCCGUAA